UGGCAGUCGAUGUGCUCAGAUGUACUAACC
Molecule: non-coding RNA, 30 nt
Filed under: Mus musculus (house mouse)
Lineage: Eukaryota; Metazoa; Chordata; Mammalia; Rodentia; Muridae
Source: RNAcentral